CGUGCAGGGAGAAGGCCCUAUGGUUGUAAACUGCUUUAUCAGGGAGAAACCUCUGGAUUUACUCCGGAGCUGACGGUACCUGAGGAAUAAGCACCGGCUAACUCCGUGCCAGCAGCCGCGGUAAUACGGAGGGUGCGAGCGUUAUCCGGAAUUACUGGGUUAAAGGGUGCGUAGGCGGCUUUGUAAGUCAGGAGUGAAAGUUUGCGGCUCAACCGUAAAAUUGCUUUUGAUACUGCAGAGCUAGAAUCAGGAUGAGGUCAGCGGAAUGUGGCAUGUAGCGGUGAAAUGCAUAGAUAUGCCAUAGAACACCAAUUGCGAAGGCAGCUGGCUAGACCUGUAUUGACGCUGAGGCACGAAAGCGUGGGGAGCGAACAGGAUUAGAUACCCUGGUAGUCCACGCCCUAAACGAUGCUUACUCGACGUAUGGCCCUUGUGGUUGUGCGUCCAAGGGAAACCGUUAAGUAAGCCACCUGGGGAGUACGACCGCAAGGUUG
This 494-nucleotide ribosomal RNA is filed under the name uncultured Bacteroidota bacterium. RNAcentral's name for it is "bacterial SSU rRNA". It matches the Rfam family "Bacterial small subunit ribosomal RNA", at positions 400 to 896 of the family's 1533-position model. The record is from RNAcentral. Lineage: Bacteria; Pseudomonadati; Bacteroidota.